RNAcentral lists this ribosomal RNA (253 nucleotides) under uncultured bacterium. RNAcentral's name for it is "partial 16S ribosomal RNA". It matches the Rfam family "Bacterial small subunit ribosomal RNA", at positions 524 to 776 of the family's 1533-position model. The record is from RNAcentral.
UACGGAGGGGGCUAGCGUUGUUCGGAAUUACUGGGCGUAAAGCGCACGUAGGCGGCUUUGCAAGUUAGAGGUGAAAGCCCGGGGCUCAACUCCGGAAUUGCCUUUAAAACUGCAUCGCUAGAACUGUGGAGAGGUAAGUGGAAUUCCGAGUGUAGAGGUGAAAUUCGUAGAUAUUCGGAAGAACACCAGUGGCGAAGGCGACUUACUGGACACAUAUUGACGCUGAGGUGCGAAAGCGUGGGGAGCAAACAGG